CCCCUAGACGUUCUGGGCUGCACGCGCGCUACAAUAAUACGCACAGCGAGUAUCACCGAGCUCGAAAGGGCAAGGUAAACAAUAGAAAAGGUACUGUAAUUGUUAUAGAUCCUUGUAAUUAUUGAUCUUCAACGAGGAAUUCCUAGUAAGUAUGUGUCAUCAUCACGCACUGAUUACGUCCCUGCCCUUUGUACACACCGCCCGUCGCUCCUACCGAUUGGGUGAGCCGAUGAAACUCUCGGAUGUAGGCUAUUCAUAGCCCGCAGAAGAGAUUUGAAUCGUAGCGCUUAGAGGAAGGAGAAGUCGUAACA
Molecule: ribosomal RNA, 311 nt
Filed under: uncultured eukaryote
Lineage: Eukaryota
Description: partial 18S ribosomal RNA
Rfam family: Eukaryotic small subunit ribosomal RNA
Source: RNAcentral